Molecule: long non-coding RNA, 34489 nt
Organism: Columba livia (rock pigeon)
Lineage: Eukaryota; Metazoa; Chordata; Aves; Columbiformes; Columbidae
Exons: 10
Source: RefSeq, a predicted model, not a curated record
GGCACCUCCCCCGCGGCGGCGGGGCCCGCCCCGGCCCGGCCCACCGAGCCCCCGCGGCGCAGCGCCCGGGUUGGUGCCGGCGCCGCCCCCCGCGCCGCAGCCCCUGCGCCCCGCCCGGCGCGGCCCCGCUCGGCCCGGCCCGGCCGGGUCGCACUCGGCUCUCUGCUCACCCGGCUGUCCCGGCUGAGUUCCGCCGCAGCCAGCCCCGCUCGGCCCGAGGCUCGGCUCAGCCCGAUCUAGCCCAUCUCAGCCCUGCCAGGCCUGGCUCACUUCAACCCAGCCAGGCUCAGUUUGGUUCUGCUUGACGCAGCCUGGCACGGCGCAGCUCCUUGUCCUGGCUCACAAGGCCCAUAGGAAGGAUUUACUUUCCUGUAGGCGAUUAGCACGAUGCCGUGUGUGCAGCGGGGGGGAGAAGAGCUCAGGGAGGCAGCGUUGCCCCCACAGAGCUGGGACCUGAGGUGACAAGGCUCCUCUGCCCAUACUGAUGGGUUUGUCACCUCUCUUGUGGCACUGCAUCUUGCCCUUUACAAGAGUGCAGAUCAAGCCUUGGAGCCAUGGGGUGAGCGCAGGCAUGCUGGUAGCAUAAGGUGGCUAUUUUCAUCAGUUUAAUUUGGUUUUGCUACAGUGCACAGUGCCAUAACUGGAAGCACUCUCCCAACUUGUGGUGUAUCCACAGCUCUAACAUGACAUCUCCUGCCCUGGAAACUUGAUUAGUGCAUAGAGAGUGACAGGAGCCAACUUUAGAAAAGAAGGUUUGGCCCAUAAAGUUGAACAACUAGGAGUGAGUUUUGGUUUUGCUUUCUCCAUCGGGUCCUCUGUGACCAGGCAAUCUUGGGAGAAGAAAUCUGUCUCAUCCAAACACAUCACCUUGCCCUUCUGGCUUCCACAGUCUCCUCAGCUGCAGCAUCUCUCUCCCAUUGCAGCUGGGGAGAUGUCCCAUGUCUGCUCUCACUGUGUAGGGAUAUUCAGACCCUGCAUGACUGGGAUUUCUAAGGAACCCCGUUACCAAUUUGUCUUUCAAGUCUAGUAGAUGAGAUUUAGUCUCAAAGGGGCCUUCAGAUUUCGGAGUGGAAAUUGUAUUUGUGCUCUGUUUGGUUUCAGUUUCUAAGUGCUGUAAAUUUUCUUUUCUGGAAGAGAAGUUGAAACUUGGAAAAAAAAUCUGUGAACUGCUAGUAAUGCGAUGGAGGCACAAGCUGAUGAAGUCUUUGAGGUCUUCUUUAUGGGUGGUUACCCCUAUGGAGAAGCCGUGUGUCCUUUGGAGAUGGUACCAGAAUCCGCAGCUUUGGUGGCAUUCCAAUAUUAUAGUAACACACUUGUCGUUGCUAGAGAUUUGGCCCUAACACCAGAUAACAUGUCAGAGUGCGAGCCUGAUUCCCUCCCCUUGGCAGCCUGUGGCGUGCUUAUUCGGGUGGCAACACUGUCCCCUUCCCACCCAUUCAUUCCUCUGCACAGCACAGUUUGACACCCCCUCGGCUGUGCUAGUGCAUCCCCCUGUUGGAGAGUUACGCUGCUGGAUCUGCUAAAUGGUCCCAGCUAAUAAUACCUCCCAAUUCCUCUUCAUUUUGAAAAGUUAUUCAAAGAUCCAGCUUGCAGAAUGGCAUGAUAAACAUCUUGGCAAAGCUGAGCUGGCAGCGAGAGGAAGAGUCAGGGCAGGAGUAAGCGGUUGGGGGCAAGGAAAUGGCAGGAAUGCCUUCAGCUGCUGUACCAUAAAAGACCAGAUGUAAUGACUUGACACACUUCCACCCAUCCUAUAUCUUUUUUUUUUUUUUUUUUACCCCCAAAUGAUGCUGAGAUUGCACAGACGUCUAACAUCCUUAAUUCAUGCCAAAAAUCUCUGUGGUCAGCAGGACCAUCGACGCACAUGGAGUGGGGAGUGUGGCAUUUAGCAGCUGGCUACUACAGAACCAGAAUAAGGGGAGAGUUAUGGCCACACAAAAAACCCAGGGUGCAUUCCUGUAAUUAAAAGGCCAUUAUAAUGCAUAUACCACUGAGGAGGACUGGAUAUUAAUCAUUGUCUGAUUAAUGCUUGAGAGCUUCACUGUAGGAUCUGAAUGAACUUUUAUGUACUUGUGUUGUGCAUGUGUGCAUUUGCCCCAAUGGCAAGAAGCAAACGUGUCUGAGGCUUGGAAGCUCAAGUUUUACUCAAUCUAGUUUAUCAAGUCAUUUCCUGUGGAUCUGCGAGAUCUCGCAUUUGAUCUGUGCUUUCACUGUCCAGCUAAUUUGGAAGCUACUAAACUAUUUAUUCUCCGAACAAUUCUCUCACUGCACAACUCUCUUACUACUGUGUACAUGCCUUUUGUAUUGAUAAACACUGAAUUUUAUUUCACUGAUAUUCUGGUUACCGUGCCAGUUCUUGUGAGUAGUGCUUUCACAAUGACUGACUUUUCUGAAUAAAAAGGCUCUCAGAGGUGCGAUUUCUGUUCGUGUAUUGUACUGUUUGUAUACAGAGCUUCUGCUCUACACACAGAAUAGCGUUUCCCUGUGAUGCGAUCGUUACGGUACCAAGAAUUAAUUGAUGGCAGAGCUUCAAGACAGCAGCUUCUGCAUUCUAAUAAUUUGCAUGCUAUGACUAUUCUGUGCUUUAUAUUCAACAGGAAUGUUUGUUUUGCAAAGUAAUGUUUUAGCCGUUGCGGAUAACCUGGUAUAUGGAUCUUGUUUCUGCUUGGUCUGAAAAUGGACUUCACCGAGUGCUGAUACACCAUUAGUUAGCAUUUAUUUGGGGCACGAAGCACUGGAAUUUGAAGCGGCAGAGUUUAGGAUGGCAUUUACUGCAGUCUUGCCACGUAGCCUGCUACCUCUACCUGCGCUUGCUUUUAAAACCCAUACCUUCGAGCUGAAAUCUUCCACACUGUUGAUUUGGGAACUUAAAUAUGAAUGUCAGUCCCUUGUUGACUGUGCGAGUUUCAAUGACUUUUCCACUGACUCACUCAGUGACUUUGAAUGAGUGAGGAGAAGUAGAAGUCAGCAGUCCUGAAUCACGCCAUCCUCCAAACAAUUAUCCCCCUCCCCGAUAAUUCUUUUGAGCAGCGAUCAUAUUUUAGAAGCAAUUGUUACAUCUGUGUUUUCCCCCGUUAUAAUCACCCAGAGCUGCAGAAAUGAUCUGCAACUUCUGCAGUCAGCUUGAAAGCUUUCAGAGUUGACACAUUUUGGGAGGCCACCGAGUUUGGAAAUAAAAAGUUGGGUUUUUUUCAGUGGGAGCAGGAUUUCAGUAUGUGGUUUGGAGAAUUGUCAGGAGGAUUUCAGGCACCUGCCAGGAGAAGAGGAGGUGGAGGGCUCCUUGUGGUCUCCUCAGGAUGUCCUUUUGAAGGGUGGUAUGACCAGAGCAGGAAAGCAGAAAGAGACCUUUGCUGCCAGGUGGGCUGCUUUGCCCAAGAUCUGACUAUCCCACUGAUUUCUCCGUUUCUUGAUGUUUUACUAGAACAGAAGAUGGCAACAAAGCUUAUGUGGCCUCUUCACUGCUGCAUGUGUGUGUGCCUCUGUACAACUUUGGAGAUGCUGGGCUGGUGGCUGGAGUGGGAGAAGGGGAAGGGAGGAAUGGGGAAGGACAGUAGAGAACUCCAGAAUAACCCAGUUUAAAUAAAAUAAAUGACUGAUUAGAGGAGCAGCUCGGUGCUUUCAGCUGGAAGCAGAGGUGGAGCAGGUGCUCAGCCCAUUCUGGACACCAUGGGAUCCACCUGGGCAACAGCACUGUCCUGACGGCCGGAGAGGCGAUGACCAGCACGUACAGUCAGCCACGAGUCGCACGUAUGGGACAAACCUGGUUUCAUUCAUAACCCUAGUCAGGAAACCACGCACUCUCCUUCACCCUCUCCCAAAAUAAAAGCAAGGUUUAUUGAAAUGGGUGGAUUGUGAGGAAAAAUGCACUUUUCCAAACCCUUGCUUUUGUACUGGGCAUUCUGAUGUCCGCUUAAUAUUCAGCAGUAUGUGAUUUAUAGCACUCCUGACAUGAUGGUUUGGUGUUUCCUUUGUGUGCAUAACUUCCUUUUGAUAUCAAGGGAUGAUAACAAACCUAAAUGGUAAUCUCAUAAGCACAUGACACAUUGUCUUUGCGGUGCAGAUAGCAGGAAAAUGCUCUGAUCUUGAGUUCAGUGCUUCAGCCACCCCUCCACCCCCCAAAUUUCACCCUGGUGACAGGGUGGCAUUAGCAGGUUUAGUGAGACGGCAACAGUGGGCUGAUUCCUUCAGACAUAGUGAUGCAGGAUGAUGGUUUUUGGGCAUCCCACCGAAGUUGAGUCCAUGGCACAGACUCAGCAAGAUAUGGGUGCACAGCUGCUUCUUGAAUUUCUUGCAUACCUUCUUUUGCUGAAUGCUUGGAAGGAAAAACUGCUGCAAAACCUUCCCAUAUCACCAUGGGUUCCCCAGCAGCGCUUUGCUUCUGUGCUUUCCUGGCUCAGAGCAUGCCCUGGCCCAUCGGAUCAAAAGAGAAUGGCGCACGAACUCUGCCACUGUCACGGGUGAACUGGCAACCUUGGGAUCAGUCCUAAAGCCAGGCUACUUUUGGCAUGAGGCAUGGCUGCUCUUCUCUCAAGAUGCCUUUCCACCCUUGAGAGGUUUCUGCAUUUAUGAUACAGCUGUUUCCAGGGCCUCAUGGGAGCUGAAUAAGCACACACCAAAUAAUCUGGUUUUCCUUCAGGGAACACAAAAGUGGAUGGAUCUGGGGAGAACACUGGAGCUGUGCAAACCUUUUCCUCUUCUCCUUGGGGAUUAUUUCAAUUAGGCUUGAACCCUUAAGUGUAGUUUAAGAAAGUUGCUUUCUGAUACCCAAACUCCACUCGAUAAGCUGUAUUCCUCCCUUUCUUGCAUAGCUAAUGGGAGGCCAUCCCUCCCGGAUGCCUGUAUCACCUCUUUCGCAAGGCUCUUGGGUCAGCCUCAGCUCGUGACAGGAUGAACUGUCAUCUCCUUACAUUGGCAAAACCAGUUUUUGUGGCUUGGCCUGCUUUUCUCACCUAGUGUCUUGCUGUGAGAAAAGCGCUCUUGUUCAGUAUCUGAGCAGUUAUAAUUGCAGGUUUACCCAGUCCAGGCCCAGCUGUGGCAGAAACGCCCCCACAGGUAUUGAUCUGGAAAGGCUUCUAGAGUUACAUGAAACUUUUGAAAUAUGGAAAUGAGAACACGGCUGGGUCAUGCGAUUAGUGGCGUGUGGCACACAGGGGAAACAAGUGGAACUAGUGAUGUACGUACCUGCCUGUAUCCUCCUUAACCCAGCCCUCGCCUUCGGGGCUGCUCAGCGACAGCGACCCACGCAGUCCUUUACAGACGCUUGACAAAAUUUAAUUUCAACGAAUAGCAGUCCACCCUCUUCUCCAGGCAGAUAUUUUCCCUUGUGUCAACGUCCUCAUAGCAACUCCAGCUAGGCAAAUAUAGGACGUGGCUUAUGAGUGUCCCAGAAGGGCUCAGAGGUGGAGAGUUGGAGCUAAAGAAAGUUCCUGGUUAACUCCACACACCACUGGAGAGCUUUGCCAGGGAUAAGUCACAGAACAUGAUGAAGAAGCUGAGAGAGUUUAAUGGUUCUGCAGAGAGCACCACCUUAGACACCAUCCUCCAAGACACUCGCAAUGCUGUUCCUGAGGAUUCCCAUGGAAAACAAUCAUACGCUUCUUUUGUGUCCUUAUAAUCACGAACAUAUUAUGCUUCCCUGGCUACUUCUAAGGAGAUAAGUACUUAGUCACCCCACACAUAUCUUUUGGGACUCUACAUAUACUCCUGUAUGUAUUCUGGCUCUGUCUACAACGGAAUGAAGACACACGGCUCUGCUCUGUGCAUAGUUGUUAAUAGAUGCUGCCAUUUGCAGAAACUGGGCGCAAGGCCUUUCAUGUGCUCACCGCCAGCCGCAUCUCCAGCACAGUUUGCUGCCAGGAUUAACAAAGCCCAGAAAUGCAAGCCCAGGUUAUGACAGCUUCACGCCUGCAAAGCUAAAAGCAUGGGCUUGCCUCCCCAGAGCUCGCAGCCUGCUCACAAAACUCCCUUGUUUUAGAUAGGAGCCCCUCCAGUCUCUUAUUAAAAAAAAAGGCUGUUUAUUGCUGGGCGCAUGUUCUGACCUUAAAAACUAAAAGUAAAAACAAUCCAAGAUAUGGGGCAUACUGAAGUGGCAACUGAAGGGCUUUUUUUGUUCAUUCUACAGUUAAUACCAGCAAGCUAAAAUUGCAAGCGGGGAGGAGUGGGGGUUAAUUUAAGGUUUAUUGUGACAAAGAAGAAUUAUUUAGAAAGUGCUGGAAAAGCAGCAAAUGGAAGACAUUCUGGAAAAUAGGCUUCGUUUCCCUAGUCAGGAGUACUUAUGUUGUAGGGACUCUGAAGGAACUCUAGAUCCAUGGCAGGUAAACAUGUGCCUUUGAUUCUGUUUUUCUCUUUGAGUCUAUAAACCCCAGCAUUUACACUUAAAUGGGUGUGCUGAAAGCUGUGUUAGGAAGAGAAUUUCAUCCCCUCCUGCAUGUACUUUUAACACAUGAUAAUUGUUUGACUGCAACUUUACAAAGUAUGGCUGGAGGGGUGUUUUUUACAGGAGGAGUUGCAUGGCAAUGAUGAUAACUGCCUGAUUCAACGCCACUGAAAGCAGCUGUAGCUGUAUUGGACUGUCCAGAAGAGAUGGUUUAUUUUAAAGAGCCAUAAUGUACCUUCGGUGGCUUAUGGCAAAUUCCUGCCUCCUGAUUUCACCCAUCAGAGAGGUCCCGUUGAUGACGCGGAGCACACACGUGUGUGCCAGGACCACACUUGUCUUCUGGGCCACACGCGUUCAACAUGGGCAUUGAUCUCUGCAGAAUUACAGGCCUUGCUGCAGAAAGGUUUUCAGUCACACUACAUUUCUGGGGGAACAAAGAACAAGGUCAACAGUGUCCAGACACCUCCUAGCUUCUUACACAUGCCCAACUUGGCAGUGCUGUCUGGCAUUUUAAGCUUUUAAUCACUUUUUAUUUUUUAAACAGCUUAUGAAGAAGACAUUUUGGUGACUGAUUUUUGUUUAAUGCCAUCGGUUUUGUCUUCAUCACACUUAUCAAAGAGUCUGGGCUCUUCCUUUAUUUUUUGCUUUCUGCUUCUUCUCUCCCACCAGAUAUGUUCCUCCCAUACAACGUAGUCCAAACCUCAUCGAGGGGCGACAGAAUUACUCUAACCGCAUUACCCACCUGCAUUACCUUGCAUAUAACUGCUGCUCCUUGCACCAAAGCCAUUAACACUCUACCAGUAUUUAAUUUAUUACCACGAAAAAUUAUCUGCUUAACUGUGACAUGGAAAAGCUGCUUAUAAAUCAGUUCCUGCUCAGCUCUAAAGAGAUUUGGGUCUUCUCUGACAUUUCUGAGUCUAAGGAGUUAACAGAGUUCUCCUACAAGAUCUGAUCAAAAGCCUAGGAAGUUGCAGUCCAAAUUUGGGCCCUCUCCUCUCUCGGGGUCACAGGCAAACCAGUGUAAGUUUUGUCUCCUUGAAGGAAGGACAGAUAGCUGUCUUGCUUUAAAAUCCUGAGGGGGACGCGGGGUGCAAAGCAGAAGUGAUUUUCACCUCACUGUAGCAAGUCAAGGGCAACUUUAUCCCUUGUGCAGAUGGACGUCACCUCUGCUAACAAUGGGAUGAGCAAGGCACCCUUUGAGAAAGUGCACCAGAGCCCGCUGCCGUCUGCUUUAUGGAGAAUACUAACAGUAGAAACGACUUUGUGCCAUUACUGUAAUACACAGCGAUCGCUGAAAUCAUGUCCAGAGCUGUAGUUGACCAUAAAAUCUGCUAUACCUGAAAGAUGUGGAAGCUUUGCAGUAGCGUUGUUUGCUGCACACAGUUACCCCACAAGGGUCUUUGGCCUUUUAUCAAUGGCACUUCAUUAUACAGUAUUGGGGGGAGAUAAUCACCGAGGAAUGUGAGAUCUUGAAAAAUGAUAAUCACCCAGGUAAUAAAUGAUAUAUGGCAACUUUUGAUAUAGUUACUGCAUCUGUGUAAUUAUAUCUGGUCUUACAUACUAGUUUUCAUUAGUAUCCUGCACAGUUGUUUGUAAGGGCAGAAGAAAUUACAGCCUAAGGAGAUGCUCAGGUGUCAGGGGGAGAGCUCACACUCAGGAGCACUUGGGAGUCAUCUAGGACAGGAAAACAAAAUCCACUUGAGCUUAAUUCCCUGUGCUUAUUUAUGUGUGUCUAAUUGCUUGGCUGUAAGUGGUAUUUAAAUCACCUAAACCCCUCCGUUCCUCUGUAAUUUACUAUCAGAAAGGAUACAUAUAAAUUCUAACAUGCUUGUGAGACAUACUAGAACUACUCCAAAACUUAGGAGAAUUUUGGAGUGAAGUUGAAUGCUUCGAGCCUAAAUACCACGUGGUUUAUUCUCUUCUCAUAUUUUAUAUCAGCAUGGCUUAAAAUGAAAUGCUGCUAUGAGCUGCCCCAUCAAACUGAAUGUGUUUGUAAUAGUUUGCCCUGUGUGGCCUGAGUAAAAGUGUUCCAGUAUGCAUUUCCAGCCUUGGAAAAUUCUUUAUGUCCUGAUUUCCAAGUUUGAAAAUAACUCUCUACAGAUGAAACACAUUUUCAACCAUCCAAAAAAAAUGUUUUCACCUACAAAUACUUUUUGCUGCCUAAACAAGAGCCCUUUCCUUUGCACUUGUGCCAACACGUAACUUGGAGAAAGAAUUAAACUUAAGUUCUUAGCUAGAAUGCUUCCCCCGACUUUUUUUUUUUUAAUAAUGACUGUAAGACAUAUGCUGUCUGUCUUCUGCAUUUAAAUCUUUCUAAUGAAGGUGUGUUUGAAGAAGGCACACCCUUCAGAAAAUGUUUUGUGGUAUCAUAUUUGUGCCUCUAGUGUUGAGGACCAGCUGCCUUUUCAAUUUUAAAUGCACUUUUCAGGGUCUUACAUCACAGAGGUCUAAAUUAAAAGACACUUACCAUAAAGGGGUGCAGCAUAUGCAUUAUUCCUGCAAAUUGCACUGCGACAUGAAAGAUAUCCCAACACUGUAUGUAAUUUUGAAGAUGAGCAAGGCUUGGCCUUUCAGAUGUCCCACGCGAGGGAAGCACCCACAUCCCGCAAAAUUGCAAGCUUCUGAAUCAUGAAGUCAGAUCACAAAGCCUCUAAUUCCCACUGUUUUGAAGACCUGUGUGACUGCAAAAAUUGAUCCCAGUGCUGAAUCAGGGGUGGCCGAGCGGCUGAGAGCCUGUGCGGGAACCCCUGGGGCCAGGUACCCUGCGUGACCCAUGAAGCUGCAGAGCUCAGCGAUGGGGUAACUCUCCCUUCCUGCCCCUCAUCUGCUUCUCCCCAUGGUUUUCAGGCUUGGGGAUCAAGGUCUGGUGACUCCCUGUAGUGUGAAGAUUUGUAUUAGUGGCUUGCAGGCUGAGAAGGGGUGUUCAUGCCUGGUGCAAAGAAUUAUUUGUUUAGUUCUAGGCGGCUUUCUCAUCAUAGAAUGUCCCGAGAUGGAAGGGACCCACAAAGAUCAUCGAGUCUGACUCCUGUCCCUGCACAGGACAACCCCACAGUUCACACCAUGCGUCUGAGGGUGUUCUCCAGUCUCUUCUUGAACAUUGUCAGGCUUGGGGCUGUGACACCUCCCUGGGGAGCCUGUUCCAGUGCUCCACCAUCCUCUGGGUGAAGAACCUUUUCCCAAUGUCCAACCUGAACCUCCCCUGGCACAUCUUCCUGCCAUUCCCUCAGGUCCUAUCUGUGAUCACCAGAAAGGAGAGCUCAGCGCCUGCCCCUUCUCCUCCCCUUGUGUGGAAACUGAAGGCCACAAUGAGUGUGGUCACAUAGACCAGGAGUAAUACCACUGGUGCCUUUACUUUGUAUGUAUAUACCAUGGUGAGACCAGCAGCCGGCCUUUAACAUAGCUCCCUGAAGGUCUGCAGCUAUAGAAACCUUGCCACAGGCUGUGCAUCCCUGCAGAACCAAGGUCCUCCUUUCUGGGUUUGUGUGGGAUUGAUGCUUAAUUCAUUCUUCAGUUCUAUGGCUCCUGAGUAGUUUCAGUGAUCCAUCAGCUCCAUCAGGCUGUGGGUAUGCAGAGGGACCCCCAAAUUCCAGCCAGUGUGAGAUUUCCUCUUUUACCUCUAUUCGGCUGCAGUCUUUACUUGUAACUCCCUGUUGGGGGGAAUGAUUUUGCAAUCCGUUUUCAAGUACCAGACAUUGGCAAUCCUUCUCCUAAAGGAUCGUGGUUGGAGAGUAUCCUGGGCUAAUUUAGGAGGUGCAGUGCUCUCCCGUGUCUAGACAUUUCAAUAAAUGUUAUUCAUCUGCCUGUGGGGUUACCGGGCUCAACACAAAUAUGCUAGCCAAGCUCAAAAGGAAGAGGAAAUAUGGGAAUAUUCACUGCCAGAAGACACUGCCUCCCUUGACAUUUUCAUCUGCAAAACAAUGGCUUUCAGAGAGUUCCAAACUGGAAGGUGUUGUUGACCUUUUUCCUUUUCCUCUUUUGACUUCUGUUUCCUGUAGGUGAGUCUCUGGAAUUACUUAAUGUUGUCAUCAAGUCCUAGGGAUUCCCCUCCCUGUCCUCUUCCAAUUGUGCUACAUCUCCCAAGUUGCCUGCGAUGCACAAUUGCUGAGGGAAGAUAUUUCUGUUUAAACUGAAAUGAAUACAAGAGCUGCUCCUCCCAAAGGAAAUGUUGUUUUUCUUUACUUGCACAUCCUCAAAUAAUUCUUAUUAUAAAUCUUUGAUCUGUACCUGCGUAGGUCCACUUGGAACUCCCCAGUUUCCUAUAAAUUCUGAUUUACUCUCUUUCUGAGUCCGUGGAACCAGAUACUAAAUCAGUCUUACUGAAAGAAAAAAGAAAAGAACAAUACAACCCUAAUUGAAAUACUUUGCUGAAAAAUGUCUCAAUGUAGUGAUUUUUGAAACAAAAGCCCAAGAAAUAUUUCUUGCUUUUCUAAAAUAGGAAAAAAAUGCAUGCGUGUACCCCUUUGGUUGGAGUGGAGCUUGCAAAGUCUGAUACGUUGUACGCAGCGCCAGCUUCAGAAAAGGAGAGCUUGGCUUUGUCUUUGUGUGUACUUGUGUGUCUUUGUGAUCAAUAAUGUUGGGUCACUCUUGGGAAGUUUUGCUGGGAUGUUAAGGAGAAGGUGGCUGUGUCAGGCACUAAGGUCUCUCCUUGGGAAGGGUUGAAAUCCAGCUGCUUGCUCUCAGGUGCCCUGAACCCCUCUAUACCCUCAGGGGCUCUGCACCCCACUUCUCCCUGACUCAGGGCAACCAGAUGCCCAAGGCUUGGGUCCAUCCCGGUGUCCUAACAAGUAUCUUUGGGACAUAUUUUGUCCCAAUUUUGCUAUCUGGAUAUGUGUUUUUCUCUCAACAAGCCCUUCUUAAUCUUCAAUGAACUGAGCUUAUUCCAUGCCAAGCAGCCAGGACUCUCCAACACGUUACCCUCCCCGAGUCUUCCUCCCUUCGCUGCUCCUUUCUCCCUUCAGAGUCAUCACUCAACUAAGUGCCUCAUAAUUUCGCUGCACUUAUCCCCCUGCUCUCCCAGAUCUCGAGGGAUAAAUUCCCUGUCAAUCCCACGCGGAGGGAUCAUUCUCAUGUAAGCAGCAUCUUUCGGGUGCAAGGCAUGGGACUAUAAGACAAGAUUCCCUGGCUGAAACCCGUGUUCGCCUCCACCGCGUGAAAAUGAAAGUAAGCUUGGCCACAGCAAAACCACAGAGCAGCAGUGGAGCUUGCUGUGUUUGCGGAGACGGUGUAAGGCACCCAAAGCUUUACUUUGGAUUUUCAGAUGGUGCAAAAUGCAUGGAUGUGUCCAUCAGUGAGACCUCCAGAAGGACAAAAUGCCACUGGGAUCCCCACUAUGAAGAGCUGCCCUGAGGUCGGUGUCACAGGAUUUCCGCAAGCUUCUGCUUAUCUUCUAGACAAAUCUCCUGGGGAGGAAACGUCAGGCACCGACACACAGUCAGCCUUAGCAGACAGUGCGGCUGCCUUAUUCACCUAUCUUCUGAGAAGGAUACUUAAAAUGUAAAUAGAAAACUGGUUUUAAGAAGUGGAGUGUGUCUAGCAUGAAGAGGUAAGAAUUAUCCCUGCUGGAAUAACCUUCUUUUUGCUGGGAUUAUAUUGAGGAGGAAUCUGGUCUGCUGCUUGGCAGCUCUGCGCACAAGCUGAAUGGCGGCAUCGUUGGUGGUUGUUAUUAACAUCUAGAAAUUAAUUCCCAACCUUAGUCACUUCAGGUGAUUUACGCUUGAAAAGAUCACACAGCCCAGUAAAUUUGGGCAGGAUAAAUAAAGGAACACCAGCCCAAACUGUCUUCUGUCUGGCAAGGACUAGGGUUAGUCAGGUUUCUUGGCAGAGCUGGGCUAUUCACUGCUUUAGUCUAACUCCCUGUAAAGUCCACGUAGAGGUGAAGGAUUGUGGGCAAAACCCGCUGACUGGUCUCUCAGCUCAGAGAAGUGCCCGGAGGUGGCUGUCACGGCUUGCUGGGGCUCAAGGUAGGUCAGGUUCUUCGGGACAUGGUUUAGCACCAGUGUUAGGUUAACAGGUGGAGUCGAUGAUCUUGAGGGUCUUUUCCAACCAAAAUUAUUCUGUGACUCUGUGGUUCUAAGGUGUCGCAGAGAAGGAAGCUAAAGCAUCUGGCAGAACUUGUCAACCUGUGGGAGAUGUGCCUGUGAAGGUGCAGGUGCAUGUUUGCUGCUGUGUCCAGCUGCUUGCCACAGCAAGGUGAAAAUGAGCCUGAAAAUCAGCUUGAAGAAUGGAUUUUGAAGGGAGCAGGUCAAGCCACCUAUGGGGACCGCAGCCGUAGGAGUGACUCGGCCAGCACAGCUGCAGUUGGAGCAGGAGGACGUGUAUCACAGAAUCAUAGAAUGUCCUGAGUUGGAAGGGACCCACAAGGAUCAUUGAGUCCAACUCCUGGCCCUGCACAGGACAAUCCCAAAUUGACACCAUGUGUCUGAGGGCAUUAUCCAGCCUCUUCUUGAACACUGUCAGGCUUGGGGCUGUGACACCUCCCUGGGGAGCCUGUUCCAGUUCUCUGGGUGAAGAACCUUUUCCUAAUGUCCAACCUGAACCUCCCCUGGCACAUCUUCCUGCCAUUCCCUCGGGUUCUGUUGUUGGUCUCCAAAGAGAAGAGCUCAGCGCUUGCUCCUCCUCCUCCCCUUGUGUGGAAGCUGGAGCUGCAAUGAGAUGUCUGCUCAGUCUCCUCCAGGCUGAACAAGCCAAGUGACUUUAGCUGCUCCUCAUAUGGCUUCCUCUCCAAACCCUUCACCAGCUUUGUGGCCCAUGUAUCUCCACCCGUAUUCUCCUGCUGGGAAAGGACCACCUGGGAGGCAAAGCCCAUCUCAGCAGGGACCUGCUGGGGAAAUAGUUGAUACUGAAACAAUUCCCCUGCACCUCUUGAAGCGAAUCAAGUGGGCUGCCCAGGGAACGACUCGUAUGUUAAGCCCAUCAUACUUGCUAUCAGAUUUUUUGUUGUUGUUGAAACCCCUACAGAGAGCAGCACGUUUUGAGGAGCCUUGUUCCAGCAAGCAAACUUCCCUGUGGCUUCCUGCUGGCCUGGGAGGAUUAAUUUCUGGGGAUGCUUUACCUUUUCCAUGCCAACUCGACUGGAGCUACAUCUCAAGACGGUUCUUUGAUAUCCUAUACAAAAGAUUGUUCCUUGUGGUGUCUUUUUAUUUGGGUCAUGAAAUAAUAUCUUUCUUCAAAGUUUAAUCUGAUUAAAACACAAAGAAUUAGGAUGGGGGACUGGAUACGUGCAAAGUAGUAUUUACGUAUCUGUUUCUUUUGUUAAUAGACAGGCCUGCCAGUCCCGCAAAAAGUUAAGCAUGCAUUUAAUGUUCCCGGUGGCUAAUCCCAUGCAAGUCUACUCCCAGCGUAUAGUCAAGCACACACGUACAUCUGUGGGAGGCACAGACUGCACGGCCCUAAUACGGAUGUGCUGACUUAGGGCUGUCGCGUGGUGAAUGUUUGCGUGUCUGGAGCGUCUCAUCAAACCCAAGGAUGCAUAAACCCUCACUGUCUGGAUCUACAAGGUAUUAAGUAGGACUUGGAAAAUGGAGGGCUGGCAGGCACAAGCAAGACGUUACAUUUAACGAUGUGAAAUAAUGGUAGAAGCCAGGCACAGAGUCAUUAAAUAACGGCUUUGGUUGUCCAUUAUUUACUUCAGCCUUCCUUCUGCCUCUGCGAAAUGCUGACUCCUGCACUGUCUUACUAGCACUGGCACAGUUGCCAUCACUUCUUUUCAAAUGGACACUUUUUAAUAUUUCUAAAGCAGGCCUAAAACGUACACAAGUAUCAGUGUUAGGCAGAGAGAGGGAAAGCCGAAAGAUAAUGCAGUAUACGCACAUCGUAAGGCAUGUGCCUUAUCUCUCAGUAAAAUUGGUGAAUUACUAUCAGUGCCACAACAGCAUUCUCAAUUACUGCAACAACUUACAGCCUUUGAUACAAGACCACCAGAAUUUUUGACUGCAAUCUGAUAAAAAGCCAACUGUACCAAAGCAGCAAAGAGAUUAAAAGCAAAACAAACAGCUAAAGGAAAUGAGGGGGGGGAAAACCCUCAAUAAAUGAAAAACUACAGGCUCAAAUUUGAAUUAAAUGAUGUAUUUUUUACUGAAAGCUGUCAGAGUAUAUUACAGUACUGUCUUGAAGGCAGAUCUGUUGCCCAUGUGAGACUGGAGUGACUUACACCGGUGUGUAGGUACUGCUGUGCAAUUAAAGGAUCUCUAAAGCAUCUGUGAUUGUGAAUCCUUCCUUCCUUCCUGCAAGGAACCCAUAGACCUGUAUACCUGGGGAGAUAUGCUGGGUUUGGCUUUCAGUUUAACCUGAAGCAAUAGCCAGCCUGAGGCUGCCAGAUUGUGUCUGGUUUCAGAUCAAACCCCUGUGAAAGCAGUGAAUUGAGUAUGAUUUCCACUCAAAACCAUAAAUCGGUCUUGAUUUGCUUGAAACUUUGCCUGUAUUUUUUUCUUUCUUUCUUUCUUUCUGAACUUGGCCUGUGUUCUAGGUUUGUAACAAAACCUAAACCAAACAUCCUCGAGUUUCAGGUUUAGUUGUAAAAGUUUAACACAGAAACCAUUUUCCUCAGAGGGGGGGAAGGGGGAUGCUGGCCUGUGUGCUAAGGCUGAAGUUCAUUUUUUUAUUCUUUUGAGAAUGAUGGUGACAGUCUGUAAUUUCUACCUUAAAAGCAGCUGGAGAAGAGGCUUUGGCUCAACAUACGAUCUGAAGGGCAGAAUAGAGGAGGAUGACCAUCAAGUCCCCACUUCCAUCUCCAGCCUGGUUUUUGCAUCACUGUUGGCAACGGGGAGCGCAUCAGUGCAGAGAAGCCCCGCUGUCUCGCUGCUGUGCCGUUUAGCUCAGACCAGCACAGCUCUGAAUCAGGGUCAGAAUUUGAUAGCAUGGAGGCCAAAGAUAGCAGGAGGACAGAUUUUUGCCUGGCACAUGGUAAGAUCUGCAACUGGGAACCAUGCCACCACAAGGGAAGGAGCUGUAAGAAAUGGGAGCUUCCAGCUUACGCUGUAUUCGUGUCUCACCAGGAGUGAGGCUUUUCCUGUACAAAAGCAAGAUUCCAUCCAUUAAUCGCUGGCAGUAUUUUGUCUUUCUGUGAGAUAGGAGCUUCCAAUUGCUCUUGUGUUUCUCCCAGCAAGAUUAGCUUCACAUUUCAGAAAAAGAGUCCAGGCUGGCAUGUUACCCUUCCUCUGGUCUGCCAGGGAAACCAUCAUUUUCACAUUAGCCUAGUGCUCCAUGUGCCAUCUUAUGUGGUGUGAGACAGAUCUUUUUUUUUAAACAAACAAACAAACCCCAACAAGAUUUCUACUGAGCACAAGGUCAAAGGCUGCAGGAGAUAUUGUUUGCCAUGCUAAAACAUUGCUGCCGUCUCCGAUGAGCACAGAUAUGCUGUGUGGUCCCUAAAGCUUUUUGACCCAGAGGCGUGAACGGUAGCACCAGAGCCCUCUUGGUGUGCCUGGCUAUAAUCACAGGAAGCUCAUUCAUUACUCAGGUCCUGAAGAUAUGGAAGUCUUGGUAAUCACUUUGGAGGGGAGGGGUAAAUUAAUCAUUUCCUUUUACACUUGUUGAUAGAGCAAUUCAUUCUGUCAUGAGAAAAUUUGGAAGUGCGGGGGAGUUUCAGUAAACUGUGAGUAAAACCUGAGAUUUCAAUCAGAUGUUGCGGUCCAGCUUUGCUGCUGCAUUUCCCUUUCAUCUUGCUUCCCGUCCCCUCACAACAGGGCCUUUUUCAGGGCUAAGACAUGCUUUCCAGAGCUGUGCUUUUGAGAUAACCAGGGUGAUAGAUAACUUUUCAUCCAGGGAAUGGACUGGGAAUGUAGGGAAGUGCAUCUGCUGUCCUCAUUCAGGGCACCGGAUGAGAUCCUGCAGAAAAAUGCCCAAGGCAGUACAGCUACUGUUAUCUGCAGCCACCAGCAACAAAAGCAGAUUAGAGACCUCCUGUGGAAAGAAGUGUUCUGGGUAGUUGGGUAAAAUCCUUUUUGCCUCUUCCUGGCCUGUUGGGCACAGCUGAACUCUUGCAACUUACUGUUACAAAAGAAUCUGAAAUAAUGCUCCUUUGGCUGCUACCCUGGGCCAGUUUCACAGGACGGGUGAAGUAGUGCCCAUCUCCAUCUCUCUGUGUCCUUCUCCUGGCAGUGCCUCACUCUUGCAGGGAUAUUUUAGCCUCUCCAGAGGCAGCUGCUGAAAUAUUGUUGAGCGUAGAAUUGGAAAAGAAGUAAGUAGAACUGAAGCUGGGGCUGGGCUUCUGUUUUGUUUUGGGUAGGGCUUUUUUGCUACAUCAGGCUUUAAACUGCUAAUUCUAACAAUGACAUUUCAAAUCAUAGUCCAGUAAUACCACCAUGUGUUUUAGGGAUAUUGCUACCAUGGUGGUUUUAGAUGCUUGUAUAGGUCCUACCCAUUUUGGUGGGGCGUGUACACAAAGAACCUCCAAACUACUUCAUAACACUAAGGUCUGAAACCAGAGAUCAUUAGCAAAAUGUUCUGUGUCAAAUCCAUUUAGACACCCUACAUCAUUUAGAUAGAGCAGUUGUCACAGGAAAUGAGCAGCACCUUUACACGGCUGUUGUAUUAGAAGAACUUGCUGCUUAUUUUGCCUAAUUGCUUACCUGUCUGCUGCAAUCUCAUUAUGCUAAGUACAGACCUUUUUAAAGCUCCUGAUAGUGGCUAUUUGGUAGGGUGGGACUGGAUGUUAUUUAAAUCAGAGCCAGGAUAAAAGGAGCAAUUAGUGUUUCCUGAGACCACAGGAUCACCUUUCAGUUGCACCAGGGGGAUAUAAAGCUUGGUCGUUAAUUGGGAGGGAUGAAACCUCAAGGCAACAGAUGCCAUUGCAUCUAGGGUCAGUUGCAAAAGAAGUCAGAACUGUGUGCUACAGGAGUUUGUAGUCUGCCAGGAUUGCAUGAGUGUCGCUGCACUUUCCAUUGACAAAACACAGCUAUUAUUAUUUUUAAAAGUUAGUACAGGUGUGAAAUGAUCUUUUUUUAGACCUUUUCUCCUCAAAGCACUGUAUCUGUAUUGAGGCAGUGAAAAUGUUACAUGCUACCAACCCAGCAUGUUAGGCUAUAGAGCUGACAAAGGGGUUUUAAGUUAAUCCAGCUGCUUUGGGAGUGCUCUGAUACAGAGCUGACCUCUGGCUUCACCUUGAUGACAGACAGCAGAGAGUGGUCCCAUCAAAAGAACUUGGUACUUAGGUGUUUUUAAGCUGAUGUAAAUGCUCCUUCUCACUCAGGCUGUAUUGGUACAACGCUUUGGAUAUUUAUAGUUGUCAGUGGGCAAACCCCUGCUCUGGUGUUGCAGAGACCUUGACAAAUUAGGCUCAGGCAGUACCAGCUGGGCUGAGCUUGAAGUGACAAAAUGUUGGCCAUGCAAAUGCAUGUUGGUUGGGCAUUGGUAACCCCUGUGCUUGCCAGGACCUAUUGCUGUAAGGCAGUAGCCACAGCUGCUCCUUCAUCAGUCAAUGCCCAAAAUCUGGACUGAUUUUGCCAAACCAUUUGGUUUCUGCUCUUGCUCUGGUUCUUCAUAUCUUGAGGGAAGCUUCUGCUCUUCAGCUCUUGCUCUCUGCCUUGUAUUCCUGAGUGCUGCUUCCAAUUAGUGCAAGCGGUGGUCUUAUCAGCAGUUCAGGUAUGGAGGCUGCAACAUGGGGGCAUAGGAGUGGGAAGGAUUUCCUUGCUCUGCCUGGAUGGGUCAUGGGGCCUUUUUGGUGUACUGUGGAGCACCAUGUCCAAAAGGGUUUUUGAAAAUUGCCUUUCUGGGAAGCUCACAUCAUAAAGAUAGAUCUUAUUCUGGUAAUAUGAUGCUUUUGCCUGUGGGAUUUUGGCCCUGAAAUGAAGUGAUUCUUUGCUGCUGUAAUUGUACCUAGGCAACACUCUUACUGACAAAAUUAUGUACUUCCCUACCUCCUUAUAGCACUAUAAUCCAAAUUGCUGUGUUGGCAAAACAAAUGGCAAAGUUACAGAAGAGAGCUUAAGCUGAUCUAAUAGCAGAUUGCUGCUAGAAGAGGAGCAUACCCCCCCUUUGCCUGCCCUUAACCAUGACUAUUCUGCUUCCCCCUUUGUGCCAGUCUUCAGCCUGCUUGGGAUCCUUCAGUUGAAUGCACUGGACCAAAGAUUUGAAAUAUGAAACCUAAAGUGAAAAAGUAAAAACCUAAAUCCACACAGAGAAAAAAAGAAUGAGAUUUUUUUUUUUUUGACCACACUGAUCAACAGAGGGUGGAAUUCAGUACAUGGGAAGGGACGGAAUGCAGAGUGAAAAUGAGAGCUGCAGUGAGGAUGGGAACAGCAUAAAGGAAGAAAAGAGAAAGGAAGGAGGGAGAGGAGAGCAAUGGGCUGUCAUUUAAGCUGUGGAAAUUCACCUUCCUGCAGCCAAAUCGCAAGGUGAGAGACCUACCCUCUACCUUUUGUCUUUGCUGGAGACCUCUGCCAUUCAUUUGCAAAUGGGUCUGGCAAGAAAAACAGCCACAGCACCCCCCUACAUGCAGGAACACGGGGCACACGUGGCAUUUAGGACCCCUGCUCCAGGCAUCUGGAUUAAGCUGUUGGCCUCAGCCUACCGAGUACUGCUGCUGGACACAUUCGUGCACAAAGAUCUGGGGAGAAGCAGGGAGUUAAGCUCUGGGGCAGGGAGGAAACGAGCUGAAAUGAAUGUAAGAAGCAGUGUUUUCAGGCUGCAAGACAUGUAAUAACUAACCUGAACAAAAGCUCUCUAUCCCAGCAAGGUGUUAAUUAUAUGCCUUGUCUUUCUGGAUAUGUGCGAACAGGGUCUCUUUGCCCACUGGGAACAAUAGGUGUAAUUAUUAUUUAGUUGGAAAGGGAGGAAGCCCAGCUGCCUUUAAUGCACAGGAUCAAAUGAAGGCCAAUAAAGUGUAUGCACAUGUGGCCUGCACUCUGUGGCUUAGUGUAACCUGCGGAGUUUGCCAGUGUAAUUCUAGGGUGUGGAAAGAAAUCGACUCCCUCACUGCUGGCAAAGCGCUGGUGUAGACAGAGCUCUGCUGAGAGAUGAGUGUUUCUGACAGUUUAGCGUGUCUGGGUACGUAGGUGGCGUUGCCGUAGGCUGAAAUUCCCUUUGGUGGUACAGGCCAUGUCUCCGCUCGGGGGUUCAACCCAUGCUGCUCCGCGGCAGUAGCUCUCACAGGACAGGCAAGGACAAUUACACCAUUUGUUGUUGUUCUUCUUCUUACUGCAAGAUAUCUCCUAGCCUGGGACAACGUUUUUUAUGCGUUAGUUUGCUGAUGUUCCAGACGUAUUACAUGGUACAGCAUAUGUUUGUCACAGCUGAGCUCUGUGUUUCAGACUCUGGAUAAGCAGUGUCGUAGGGGAACAAAAUCUAUGAGGCUGAAGCAGGAAAGUAUUUAUGCCAGAAGGGGAUGCAGAACUGCUCAGGUCUGCUGGAGGGAGGUGUGGAGCUGCAUCCUGAGGACCUUGUAGAGACAGAAUCAUAGAAUGUCCUGAGUUGGAAGGACCCACAAGCAUCAUCGAGUCCAACUCUUGUCCAUGCAUAUGACAACCCCACAGUUCACACCCUGUGUCUGGGACCGUUUUCCAGUUUCUUCUUGAACACUGUCAGGCUUGGGGCUGUGACGCCUCCCUGGGGAGCCUGUCUCAGUGCUCCACCACCCUCUGGUUGAAGAACCUUUUCCUAAUGUCCAACCUGAACCUCCCCUGGCACAUCUUCUUGCCAUUCCCUUGAGUUCUAUCACUGGUCACUAAAGAGAAGAGUUUGGCACCUGCCCCUCUUCAUCCCCUUGUGAGGAAGCUGUGGACCACAAUGAGGUCUCCUCUUAGUCUUCUCCAGAAGAGAAGAGGACAACUCCCUUGAACCUCUGUAUGUGCCACCCUCCCUCCUGCCAUUCCAGAGCUAAAUUAGAAGAUAAAUCUCAAAAACCAUCGUAAGACUGUCCAGGUAGGGACUGAUACUGCUCUGUCUCCAGAGGUAUCUGUGGUACUCUCCCUGUGCAGGACAUCUCCUAUGCAGAACAAUCCCCUGGCACAAAGCUGCCCAGCCCUGCUCCCUGUGACAAACCCUAGAUGCUGCUCACCACCUCUUCAGCACACUCUAGUACAGUGUAUUCCUCCAGCCUGCUCAUUUGCUCUUUCACUUUGGGAUCGAGAGAAUUUUCCCCCUCCUGGCUGAGUGCAAAAAGUGUGGACCUUUAUGUCAACAUCCUUGCUGGCUCUGAUUUCAAGAGCUGACUGUCAUCAAGCGUGAGUGUCACCAGGGAGCUUUCUGCUAGGUAUGGUCCAGACAACUGCUUGGACCGAUGACUUAUGUGCAGCUGUAGAAGAACACGGAAACCUUCUCUGCCAGAAUGCUAGAGGAAUUUCUAGGUUUAACCCUCCAUGGAGUACCCUAGGCUUUGAAUGUGAAUAAAAAGGCAUCUUCUGGUAAACGAGAUUAAUUUUAUUAGGAGGGAAAAUGUAAGAAAAGUUAGCAUUGAAUUUGUUCACAAGUACAGUAAGUGUUGGUUGGAAAAAAAGCAUAGAGACCACAUUAUGGAUAGCUUAAACAACCCUGGCAAACUGAAAUCUGAGAGUGCAAACAUAGAGCACAGAUCUUUCUGCUCCCUCCUCAAAGCUUAAGGACUGGGCAAAGAGGUGUUUGAUGAAAGUUUCUUUCCCUUUGCUAAAUGCAUGCUUUUCCUGAAGAGGUGCCAUGUAUAAAGAAAGAAUCAUGCUAAAGGCAUAAUUUUGUUUUCCGAGUCAAUGUUUCAUUUGCCUCCUCUUAGAAUAUACAUUUCUUUGCUUAUGAUCUUGGCAUGGUUGUGCAUAUUUGCUAUUCUCUUCAGGGGUGGUUUGCUUUGUUGUCAUAGCAAUGCCUUCUAACUCUUGCACUCACCAGUUUCUUUUCAGGUUCCUGCAGGCUGCAACCAGUCCCUCAUUGUGAUGAUCACAUCUCCUAGCAGCUUUAACACCUUUUUUUUUGAUUCUCCUAACUAUAGGCACAUUCAGUAGCAGGAUUCCAAAGAAUUCUGGCCCAAACAGGUUUUCAGCUUGAAGUUAGAAACAUUAAAAAAAGGCAAUAACAUUGUUGGUUUCUGUUUGGGGUUUUCAUUGUUCUAGUGAUGACCUAAUAUUUCAACAUUUUUAUUCAUUCAACUUCUUAGCUUUUCUUGGACAGGAGCUAUAAUUGCUUUGGUGAUCUGACUAUCAGAGAUGAGAUGCACCAGGCUAAUCAAUGUGGCCUGAGGUCUGUUUUUCCCUAGGCCAUGAUCACAAUUGCAAAGUGAGGCUGGGACCAGGCCCCUUUCCCUGUGCAGUCUGUCUCAACAGCUUUGCUUCUGCAAAGCUCCACUUCUAGAGGCUCAUUGCCUCCCCUUGUGUCCAGCUCCGCCUUGAAAGGCUGGUGAGGCAGAGCUCUUCAGCUGUUCACUGCUAAGCCAGGCAAGAAAGUGUUUGAAGCUACAUGAGUGGGGAAGUCUAAAUGGAUUUCUUAAACCCUCUCCCCUCAUCCAGGUCACUUUUAAAGUAUGGAGUAAAUCAUCCCAGCCAUGGAAUGUUGCUGGACAUGGGCAAAGUGGGAUGAGAACUCAACUUUGCACUCAGCCUUUGGGCCCAGCUUUGUUGCGGGCUUUCCCCUCCUUGAGCAAGUCACACCCUCCAUUCUGCAGGUCAGCACAGCCAGGGCAACAGGCUGAAAGUGUUUUCUGCCUGAUGUGGGAGGGCAAAAUCCUUCCAAGCCCAUCUAGGUUUAGGUGCCCCCAUAUAAGGGAUGGUGACAGAUACAAUGGAGGGAGAGCAUAGACCGUCCUUGUAAUUUCUACUGUCCCUGGCAGACCAUAGCAGGGAGGAUGGUGGGCUUGGAGGUGCUGCUCAGCGGUUGCCCUGAACUAAGGCAGGGAUGCUCCUUCGAGCAAUAUGCCUGGAUUUUAAGAACGUGAGCAUGGUUCAACCUUGUAUUACACCUCCUGUGUGUUCUGCAGCUGCUGGUUUUACACAUAUAUGGGAAACGCUUUCAUGGGAUGGGGUGAUUCUGCGAUCUUCCACUGCACAGCUCUCACACGUUUUGUUGAUGCAAGCCGUGUAUUUGAGAGGAUACACGAGGCUUCCAAAGUAGUGAGCCAAAGGAACCGCAGCCUAUAUGCUCACCCCAAGUAUUUCCCUGAGACAGAUUAUUACAGGCUUGCAUUCUACCCUUGCCACACAGAAUACAAAUCCCAGAACAGAGAUGGCUCCUGGUCCAAAGAGCUUUGUUCAUCGCACAGUGGCUGUAUGAGGUUACUGGCUAAUACUCUGUUGCUGUUGGAAUUAGUUUCAAUAUGAAUCAAUACAAUUUUUUUUUUAGCGCAGUAAGCGCAUAUGCUAUACAAUUGAAAGCAAUUUUAAAGUAACUUGUGCUUAAAUGAAACUCCUCUUGGGUUUCAGUUCCAAAGUGACUAUCAGGCAUGAUCAUUAGUUAUUUGCUGUCUUUGUAAACAUUCCAUUCGUUUGGAUUGUUGUUGUUUUUUAAAUCAAAGAUGUUUCAUUUUUUUUUCCUUUUUCCCCAAAGCAGGAAUAUUUAUCUUUGAAUCCUCCAACAGCUUUGGAAUGCAGCCUCCACACAGACUUUAAUAGCAAAACCCACUUCUUCUGACUCAGGGACCAUUUGAUGAAAUGUCUAGAGAAGCAAAAAGCAGCAACAAAAAAAGCUUUACACAGAUGCUUCCCUGUGACUAACAGAACGUCCACCCAAAGCGGAGAGAGUAUAAGUGCGUUUGUCAUAUGUGGGUGUAUUUUUCCCAUACAUUCAUUUUUAAAGCUAUGCAGUAGAGCACUAUAAAAUUAUAGUUUUACAAAUAGGCAUUAUUUGACCGUCACUGGGCUGAGCUGAUGACUCACUCUGUGACCUCCAUGCAAGUCAUUUGAUUUUCUUGUUCCUCAGUAAGACUGGCUGGGAAACAGGCUGGAAAAAGAAAAGACAAAACCAGAAAACAUUCCUGACAAUAUGUUCCCUACCUAAGCUUUGUGUGUUGACUGGAAACACAACGUUGGAAAUAAGAGCUUUACAGCUGUUGGCUUGAUGUCUGUGCCCAGCCCUGUAGGAAUUGUGGGUGGCCAGUGUCUUUGAAAAGCAUGCUCUAAAAAUGGGUUGUGGUGUCUGACCUAUUCUAAAACAUUAGCAGCAGAAGACUUGCAGUCAGCUGCCAAUGUCAUUAUAGUGUCCCAUUGUCAUUGUGGUGUGAGCUGGGUCUUUUAGCAACAUAAAUGUACCGUCUCCAGAUGCACUUGGAAACGUUAGCCUUAUAACACAGAGCUUAUGGGCUUCAGCAUAUUUCCAGACAUCUCUGUCCUCAUUGUUUACUUUCUGAUACCAGGCUUCUCUUUGACCUGAAAGCUACAUAUUUGCACAUAAACACCUUUUUUAAUGAAAAUAGUCUCCUUAUGUCCAGAAAGCAGUAUAGUUGUAUAGUUUUUCCAGGGCCCAAACUGUUAAUUCAUCCAACCCAUGCAGUAUUACCAGCAUUUUGAACACUUCCUCACUGUUCAAAAGUUGUGGGGCAAAUCUUAAAGAAUUACUAGGUCGUUCUGGUUUUAAAGACCCAGUGUUCACCAGCCAAAUCUGGGUGCAUUUUCUGGCUUUUAUUUAAAGCACAUCUAUGGUAUGUUUUUGAAGUCUUCUUUGCAUAGGAUAGCAAGAAGGAGAAAAUAACUUUCUUUAAUGACACUGGGGACUGUACGCGAUCUUCUGGCUCCAGGGAUUGGGGCUUAAACAGUGAAGCUUGGAGAGGCCUGUCUGUUUUGCCUCUGUCUUUGUUUUACAUAUGUUUUCAGUUUAUUUUCCUGUUGCUAUUCGUUGCUUUUUUACUUUGCUUUCAUCACACUUUCCCUUCAGUUUUCACCCAAGGGGCCUUGAUCUAUUUUGAGGAGGACAAAGCAGUUAUCUUAAAAUCUCAUUAAAUUUAUUUUGACUUCUCAUUUCUGGUUACCAAUUACGUGAACCCCUCCUUCCAACCUGCCAUCUAGUGGAAUUGACACCUAGGAACAGAGAUGUUAAGCUUUCCAUCCAUACAGAGUGACUUAUUAGGUGUCAACUGUGAAGCAUCUAUACCAUACCUUGAAGGCACACACUUGCUUCAGAGCUGACUCAUGACUGACAAGCCAAAUCUACUGGAUCUAAGUGCCACAGCCAAAGAAAUAAUUGCCCUUCUUAGUGCGCAUUGCCUGUCCGUCAUUUCUGGCAUUUCUGCAGCAGGGUUGGAGGCCGAGGCUCAUUUCUCUCUGUUUUGAGGCCCAGGGCAUGGUUUGGCAUUUAGAUUACGCAUCUGAUGGGGACAGGACAACGACACCAGGUGAGCAAAGACAGCAUUUCCCUACGCAGCUGUCCUGCUGGCAGGAUUUUCUUGCUGGCCCCAGUUGUAGCUGUCCUUGUUCAUUGUAGUCGGCUGCCUGGGACUAGACAGGGAUCCAUGACGUGGGAUGGAUGAGACUUGCAGAAGGAUCAAUGUGAUGGACAAGCUUGCUGAGCAAUGGAGCUUAUGAAGCGAUGGUGAAAUCAGCCCCAGAAGGGUGACUCCUCUUUCUUCUGAACAUGUAAACUGCUGAAGAUGAGUCACAAUCCCAGCUGUUUGGAAGGAUGGGGGGCUGGAAUGAAAUACAGUAACAAUUAGAAAAAGAGAAAUGUACUGAAUAAGAGCCUCCUCCAUUCCAUUUUCCUCACGGAUGUUAUUGAUUCAUCACUCUAGCGGUCCUGGCUCGCACCCAGGAUGCAAAGGACAUAGUAUAGGUUGUCUGGAGGCAGUGGCUAUGGGAGAUAAGGAAUAUUCCUGUUCAGUAUUUUGCACAGGAAACCUUCUGGUAUGUGUCCUACCCAAACUGCUUAUGUAGAAUGACCAAAUGUAUCACAGGGAAAGAAUCAUGCUGUUUUGGAUUCCCGUGCUGUUUGAAGGUGGCUGUUACCAAGUGGGUAGGAUCAGUCACUGCAAGUAGCUGUUCCAGAAGCAGCUGAGCAGCUGAUGCGGCGAAAGCUGGUUCCUAUGCGACUUUAUCCCAUGUCUCUCUGUAUACACAGCCCUAUAACUACACCCAAGGCAUCACAGAGCCCCACACAACCUCCAAUUCUCCCAAUCAUCAUGUAAGUCCCACCUGCUUUCCUAUACCACAGUGGCAGCAAGCACUUGCAGUGGGAAAGCUCAAAUAACCAAUGUAUAGGUUGGCUGGUGUGUGCACUCUGCUGGGUCACCCCAGGAGCCAAAGGGGUGACUGUGGAACAACAUGGUCUUUCCUAAAACAGGGGCAUUCAUUUGAGUGUCUCUUCUUGGCCCAGUGCUGAUUUUCAUUAAGCUCGGUGAGGUUGCAAAGAUAUUAUUUUCCUGCCUCUCUGCCAAAUUUAGCUGGAAUUGGCCAACAGGUUUAAAAGCAUUUGAAUGGGGGAGGAAAAUGAGAAAGGAGAGGAAAACAGACAGCAGGAUCACAUAAGCCUCAUUUCAUUGGGAAGCCAGGCUAAAAAAAGAGAGUUUAACUCCUAGCUAUUAAAAUUUUUGGAUUUGUCUUGAACACUUAAUUACACAAAGAGAGCUGGUUUUUAUUCAGACAAUAAACAGGUGUCAUCACUGGAUAUGUUUGAGAGGUUGUUUUUCUUUUAUCUAUGUGACUGAAAGGAAGAAGGAAAAAAAUCUUGAUGCUUAUAUAUUUGAAAGGAGAAAGUGGAGGAGUAGAAAAGAUUAUGAGCAAACAGAGGGGGCAAUGCUAAUCAUAUACACUUAAAAUCAUUUUUACCAUGGUAACAAAAAAUAGCCUCCCCUAGAAUGCACUUGAAUCUACAGAACCAAUAAAAACAAAGAUAGUGAUGAAGUUUGUCUUUUUUAGAACAUAAUUCGUGGCAGCUCCAAUGACAUUCUUAAUGGAGUGUGAUAUUCCCCUCUCAAAAAUCACUUUUUGAAAAUGGAAGGUGUUAAACUCUUUUAAUCUUCACUUCCAACGGUAGCCAGCAAAAUCUGAUCCAGGGAGUCAAUUAGAAAGGAUUCUCCUGUGCACCAGGUUUAAUUGUCUCCUCAUUGUGCAUUGAAUCACUAUGUUACUCUUCUAACUUCCUGCAUAGGAUUGUUAAAUCUUCAUUUCCAGAGGUACUAAACAAACAUUGAGUUGUACAAAACCAGUACUGUUGCAUCUGUCUUGUAAUAAUGAACAUGGUCUUGAAAAGGAAGGGGGAUUCUUGGAUUUAAACUCAGUCUUAGGGAAAACUUCGCCCCCAGCAGUUACAUUUGCUGGUGAAUACAAGUAUGCGUAAGCAGAAACUUUGUGUGGUUCUUGUGUGGAAGAAGCUACGUAUGAAAAAAGGAGUGAAUCUAAACCCUAGGGUCUGUGUCUGACUACUCUAAGCCAGCUGUCUGAAAGGAAAUGGUCAAAAUUUUGUCAAUCGUUAAUGAAAAAAUUGUUUUCCAGAUGUUCAUAAUAACCCUGUGAAUAUAUUUAAAAAAGGGGAAAUCUGAGUCCUUCCUGAGGACCAGGACUUGCCACUCCUGUUUCACUGACAUCAGCAGGACUCCUUGUGUCACAGAGGGCAAAUAUUUUCUGAGAGCAGAUUCCUGUUCUGAACCCUCCUACGUCAUUUACGUACACACUAUCAUUACUGGAUUGCUCAGAGGCUGCUGUGGGUGACCUUUCUUCCCAUCUCCCCCACACUUGUCAUCACAUGUGUGUGAGCCUCUGGGACUCAGAACUGGAGUAGUAACGCAUGUGGUCUGGCCUGGAUCUAGAUGUUAUGUACGGCAGGGGCAGGAGGCCUCUUCUAGGAUCACCAAAACAUCUUUAGUGAAAGGCUGGUUUAGCAAAAGGACACCUUUCUUAUGAGGAAAGACUGAGAGAGCUGGGUCUGUUCAGCCUGGAGAAAAGCAGGCUGUGAGGAGACCUUAUUUAGGCUUAUAAAUAUCUCAAGGGUGGUUGUCAACAGAAUGGGACCAGAUUCUUUUCAGUGUUGCCCAUCAACAGGAUGAGGGGCAAUGGGCACAGACUGAAACACAGGAGGUUCCAUCUGAAUAUGAGGAGAAACUUCUUCACUUUGAGGUGCCAGAGCCCUGGAACAGGCUGCCCAGAGAGGCUGUGGAGUCUCCUUCUCUGGAGACAUUCAAACCCAGCUGGACACAUUCCUGUGUGAUCUGCUCUGGUGAAGCUGCUUUAGCAGGUGGGUUGGACUGGAUGAUCUCCAGAGGUCCCUUCCAACCACAACCAUUCUGUGAUUCUGCUGGUGCUAUAAUUAAUACAUUUGAAAGGGUCAUUCAGGUUGGGAAACAACCAGAGAGUGACAGCCCAGAAGGACACUCAUUCUCUUCUCCAUCUGGCUGGACCUAUGGAAAGACAAUACUUCUGUCACUUUGAUGGAGUUGUCGGUCUAGCAUCCGCCACAGGCUUCAAGGAAAAUCUGCUGGCUGAGCUCAGCCUACCAAUUCAGACUGCUUGAGCCAGCCCGUCUCAUUGUGCCUGAAGUGAAUUAGGAAGAACUUAAGUAAGGUGUGACAUGUACAGAUUCAGAUGGUGGUAACCCUCUAGCAGGCAGGAGCUGGCAAUUAAGUGGGAGGUAGAUUCCUCUUCCAGCUGAGCAGCUGUUUGCAUCCCAGCCAGGUCUUUUAGUCCUAAUGUGUAACUGCCUUCCAGGAGUCAAUUGAGCAGGUGUGGAAGCUGCUGAGCCUUGCAAGAGACAUACUUUAGGAUCAAAUCGUUGCGUUUAGUAAUUUUUGGAAGAAUACUAGGUCCAGAUGGGGGGAUUUAAUAAAGAUGGUACCUUUACCUCAACACUGAGUCACCAUAGGAUGUUGCUGCACGUUCCUAGCAACAGGAGAUAGCAGGCAUCCUGCUGGAUUUGGGUUUUUUUCACUGCUCAGAAGACACAGUGAAAAAUAAGUUGGACUAAUGACCAGUGGUGUCACAGGAGCAGAGCAGAAUAAACUGGACAUGGAAAGGAAGAGUGUUGUAAAGCAGAGGAGUGAGGCCCUGAGCAGCCUCCCAGAGCGGGAGCCUCCCAUGCCCUGAGUGCCAGAGGAGGCCAGAGCUCUGCAGGAGUCAUAGGAUGUCCUGAGUUGGAAGGACCCACAAGGAUCAUCGAGUCCAACUCCCAUCCCUGCACAGUUCAACCCCACAGUUCACACCACGUGUCUGAGGGUGUUGUCCAGUCUCUUCUUGAACACUGUCAGGCUUGUGCUGUGACACUUCCCUGGGGAGCCUGUUCCAGUGCUCCAUCACCCUCUGGGUGAAGAACCUUUUCCUAAUAAUGUCCAACCUAAACCUCCCCUGGCACAUCUUCCUGCCAUUCCCUCAGGUGGCGUGGUUGGUCGCCAGAGAGAAGAGCUCAGCACCUGCCCCUCCUCUUCCCCUUGUGAAGAAGCUGUAGCCACCAUGAGGUCUCCUCUCAGCCUCCUCCGGGCUGAACAAACCCAGGGAACUCAGCUGCCCCUCACACGGCUGCCCAUACGGAGAACCCGCCGCUGCGGAGGUGAGGCAGCCGGCACCCAGGAGGCCCUUUCGGUCUCCAAACCAAGUGCCUAAACUCUCCCUUUUACACAGACCGUUACUGAGGCCUCGGGUCUGCGUAGGGGAAAUGCCAGGGAAGAAGCAGCGGCCCUGGGGGGCAGAGGGCGGCCGGCCGGCCCCCAAAGCCGCCUCCCGCCGACCUUGCAAGGGCGCGGCGGGGCGGCCCCCGAGCGGCUCCGCCACAUGGCGGCCGGUCGCCCGGCGGCGCCUUUCCGCGCCAAGUAGGCGCCGCAGCCGCCGUCAGGUCGAGGCCGGCGGGUCACGGGCAGCUCCAGUGAGCCACCACCCCGCCGCUGCCGCCGUCUCUCCGCCGCUGCCUCCCCCGCCUUCCCGCCGGAGCGGUGGCGGGUCCGCCCCCGCGGGGUCCCGGCCGCUCCGGCCCUGUCUGAGGGGCGGGCGACAUCUUGUGGCCACGGGCGCGCCGGACCCCUGAGCGGCCAAGUGUGUGUGCGGGGGUGUCUGUCACCCCGACUCCCGUCGUUGUCCAUCAUGCCACCCGCCCCUGCCUCUGCUUGAAGGGUUUUCUGCGGUGGAUCGCUGCACUGCUCUGCUCGAAGAGGUCUCCACGUGGAUUUGGACGAAACCAUGAUGUGAAGGCUCAUGAGUAAACAUGACUUAUCAACUGCUGUUCCAGUCCUCCUCAUGACAGAGCUGAGAAGAUUCUCCAGAUACUUCUCUUCUGGCACCAUAUGUCUGAUGCAGGAAGUAUCUGAAGAUGGAUGAAAAGCUGCAGAUAUCCUGGUGCAAAACAAAAGAAGCUUCAGAACAUCUCAAAUGAUGGAGCUGGAGUGUUACCCAGAUAUCUCAGAGAUGGUGCGGGGUACCUGGUACUUUUGGAGCAUCUUCUAGACUCCAGGAAUUUCAUAGUGUCGUGCAGUCUCAAAAUACUGUCUGGUGGCUGAAGAGGAGUGGCUGAAGAUGAGCAACUCAUCAUUAAACACUGAGAAGUGCAAGAGUUGGGAACAUACAAAUAUAUACAUAGUCGCUUUUUUUUGCUUGACAAGAGAUACAUCCUUCUAAGUAUCAGGGUUGGAACUGGUAAAAGAGAAAGCCGUUGUACUAGGAGGGAUACUACCAUACUGAAAACAAGUUACUAGAGGAAGGUCACGCGGGUGAGUUUUGACACUGGGUUUGGUUGGAGAUUUUUCUUUAAUGAUGCUGGCAUGAAAAUUGGAGCAUGCUUGUAUUGACAGCAAAAAAUGAGAUGCACUGGCAAUCUACUUAAAUCUUCCGUGGGAAAAGAUAGUCUUGAGAAAGUAAGUGAAAGAAAAGGAAUUAAAUAUGCUAGUGAAAAAGGUAAAGUUGCACUUAUAAAUAUCCCUUUUCCAUUGAAAAUGCAUAAUUUAGAAGCAGGUAAGUAGGAGGGAGGCUGGAAUGUAGUAUUUGGUAUGGGAUGAUGGAAAAAUGUGAAGUAUCUCUGUAAAUGGUGUUCUUGGAUGAGAGAAAGGAGAUCUACCCUCUGUAGAUAACUCCGUGUGCUAAUUCUAGCCAACCGUGUUCAGGAAGGUGAAUCUGGAGAAGGGUUCCUAGGAUACCCAGGGUUUAUCUCCUGUGGGAGUGUAGUUUGUUCAGCCUAGUGAAAGCAAGGCUGAAAGGGAAUAAAAUUAUCCUACAAUCAUGAGUAUCACAGUAUCACAGUAUCACAGUAUGUUUGGGAUUGGAAGGGACCUCAAAAGACCAUCUAGUCCAACCCCCCUGCUGGAGCAGGAACGCCUAGGUGAGGUCACACAGGAACAUGUCCAGGUGGGUUUUGAAUGUCUCCAGAGAAGGAGACUCCACAACCUCCCUGGGCAGCCUGUUCCAGGGCUCUGUCACCCUCACUGAGAAGAAGUUUCUUCUCAAAUUUAAGCGGAACCUCUUGUGUUCCAGCUUGAUCCCAUUACCCCUUGUCCUAUCAUUGUUUGCCACCGAGAAGAGCCUGGCUCCAUCCUCAUGGCACUCACCCUUUAUAUAUUUAUAAACAUUGAGUAAAAGGUAGGAAAAUGCUAAUUAUGAAGUGAGAGCUAAAAAAUCACCAGCACAAAGCAAACCUGGGGGAACUUCGAAUUACGGAUUCAAGUGCCCAAAGGAAGGCGAUCAGACAUAUAAUACAUCUAGUCUAAAGCCAGAAGGUGGUUACUUGUCAUGAAAAAGGUUAGACCCUGAAACAGAUUUAAUAAGAGAAGGAUGUGCUUUCCGGGCCCUAUUCCUGCUUCAAGGCCUCCAAUACCAUCUUUAAGGAUGAAAUUCCUCUGUCCAUGUAGCCCACUUUUUAAAAAUAAUGUAGUGCUUUUAUCUUUUUUAGCUGAAAAGCUAGUAAGUAGCUAACUCCAACAUCAUCUGGUUAUUGCAGGUGUCUUGAAUCCUGCUUCUGGAAUGAUGUAAUCAAAAAUGGUGACAUGUAUGGUCAUGAGUGGUCAAGUCUUUUCUUGGAUAUUCGCUAAGAUUUUAUGGUCCUGUGGCUGGGUCAGUGGCUGUUACUGUCGCCUCUGCUGGUUUUGAAACUGCCUUUUUACUGUAGAGUUGUAAAAAAGUUUUGAGAUGGUGCUUUUUGUUCCUUUCAGAUAAAACAACUCUGGAACAGUUGUUAAUGAGUGAUUUUGUUUGUCUUUCCAACAGUGGUGUUGUUGUUAUUAUUAUUAUUAAUUAUUAUUAUUAUUAUUUUCUCCUGUCAUCUUACUCAGCAUCUUUCUUAAACAGCUGGUGGAGUUUGUGUGACAACUGGGACUCUCACAACAUGCUGUUGCACAUCGGCUUUAUACCAGAAGCAACUGACUCUGUCUCCAGCUUUCUGCCUUGCCUGGGAAAGAUCAGUACCUGGAUGAAGGCCAGUUGGCUGUAACUGAAACCCCUUCCACAAGAGAUAAAAAUGCCCGGGGAUUUGUCCAUCCGCAGAGAAAAAAAGCAAGAUUUGCUGUCUUUCCCACAAUCGGCCAAACUGCUGUUAGUGGGUGGACACAGAGAAACUCUUACACUUGGUGGAAGAGUGAUAGUUUCCUGGAUAACGUGGUGAUAAACACAGCAUUGAUACCUAGAGCUGGAAUUUUUAUAAAGCACGUCAUUCUGGCUUCUACCUACCCAGGCAGUGGGAGAAGCUGUGUAGAUUUCAGUGAAAGCAGAGAUUGAGUAACCUCUGAGUUAUUUUGAAAAGAAUGAAAGAAAAACUGAGCUUUUUUCCCAUUUUUUUUCCUUAGAUAUUCAAAGAAUAGGAAAACCUUUGCUCUCCAUGCUGAUUAAAAUAUUUCUGUAAGGUGACAGGUCUGAUCUGACUCCUGACUUGGGCACCCAGCCUGACCUUGGACCUGCCUUAUCACUGCAAGCUGUUGGAUGACCCUGGUUACCCUCCUGGGGCUGCCCUGCUCAUCUGGCUCAGUGUGCCUGGCUCCUCUGAUCUGAAGAGGAUGCUCUGCUCUCAAGCGAUACUUUUGGGAGGACGAUCCCCGUGAAGAUGCUUUCCUGCUUUCCUGCCUGGGCCCUGCAGAGGAAGAAACGUGCACAUGCUCUUCGUCGUUUCGAGAUUAUUUAAGAAACCGCCGCUAUUGAACUAGCAGGGGAUCUUUCCUUCUGUGACCUUUGCCAGAGCCGCUGAUUGGUGUGUCCCAGCUGCAGGAUGGAAUUUUCUUGGGAAAGUUUUAAGAGUGUCUGAAAAGUGACCAUCUCCUUUCCUAGCCCUUACUGACAUGUACGGGCUUUUCCUGGCCUUUCCAGCUCCAGCGUGGAAGGCGUUGUUUGUUUUCUUUUUGAAUGUUAUCCUGCCUUCCUCCUUUUUUAACAAAGCUGUAUAUACACGAAGACUUGCUGUGAAUUCAGCGUGGCACAUGGAUGGAGUGGCCGCUUUGAACUCCUUCUGCAACAAUGGAUUCCGCUUGACUGAUAAUAAAACCAUGGGAUAGACCUCAGGGAGGAAGACCACAGAGCAGCAGAUCUUGAAUCUGGGAAGCAUUUCCUGCAGGACCUUCUUCAGCCUGAGCCUGGGCCCAGCUCAUACUGAGACAAUGUGUUGGCUACAGCUGGAAAUCUUGUCUGAGCAGAGAGGAGCAAGCUGGCAGAUCUGAGUCAGUACAUUCAGAGGAUGCUCGUUUGCAGCAGAUGCUCCUGUAGAACUUGCCAAGGCUGACUCAUGGUUCUGUGGCAGCUUCUUGUCUUCAUUUUUCAGAGGUCCUAGAGGAGAUGAUUUCAGGAUUUGAGGUUCCUCAUUCUCAGCAGCUGUCUCCAGUAUUUGGGUGAAUGAGAGAAAGUUGCAAAAUGUUUUGUUGUUCUAUGCUGCCCUUCUCCUGAGUUGGUCCUGUGGGUUUUUUGGUGCGAGUAUUCGCGGUGAUUAACUGCGGCCAUCCCUUUGCUGACACCUCGCAACGGGAGCCCUCCUGCUCCGCGCCGUGCUCAGAGCUGUGUCACACUUCUCCUGCGCUGCGUGGUGAGGCAGCAAGCGGAAUGGAAUUACACACGAUGGCCCCGACGAGAUGAAAUGAGUGCUACUUAGAGAGUAAGUUAUCCCUCACUGUGAGCAUGAGUGGUAGAAUUUAGGUCUUUUGUUUCUGAAAACCAAUGUUUCUAAUUCUAUGCAUUUCAAUUCCGCAAACUGUUUUUCAUGGAAGGAGAGGGAAAUAAAACUUGCGAGGAUGGUGAGUUUUGCUUUGCUGCUGGUAAGCCUGGCACUACAAAUACUUUUUUGUAAAAAUAAACUCUGCUGACUCAUGCAAAGUAACACCUCGAUUUACACCAGUCCAAGAUUCAAGGCAUUCAAACUCCUCUGUGGGAAGGAAAUGCAUUAAGGCAAGUGAGCAGGAAUUCCUCUCUUUAUGUUUUCCUUCACUGAAUCAAAUAAUUAUUUGGGUUGGAAGGCACCUUAAUGAUCACCUAGUUCCAAUCCCCAUUGCCAUGGGCAGGGACAACUUCCACUAGACUGAGUUGCUCAAAGCCCAUCCAGCGCUUUCAGGGAUGGGGCAUCCACAGCUUCUCUGGGAAACCUGUACUUCUGGUGCCAACCUGAAAUCUCUGAGACUUCUUAAAGCCAAGAGAAGCUCAGAAGCAGAUGGACUUUAUUUUUAUAUGUACAAGGCAGUUCCAUGUCGUCUUCCUUCCUUGUCUUCUGUGGUCCAUCUGUGAAACAGACCAUAGGAGGGAAGCACAGGGAGUGGGAGAUCAGCAUAGUGGGAAGACAAAAACAAUGAAACCUCAGUGAAUUGGUGAGGGAAGACAGGGAGACAUAAAGAGUCUGAAGAGAGCUGUGGAUGAGCCAGGGGAAAAGGAAGGAGAACAUAGUGUCUGAACACCCGAAAGAAAAGAAGGGGCUGCAGUACCAUAGGCCAGUUAGGCAAAAGUGAGAAAAUGAAUUAAUGGGGAGAACAGCAACAAACUGAUGUAGUUUGCAGCAUGCAGAAUUGGGAAGAGUUUUCAGAAAGGAAAGGAAUACGUUUUGCCACUUGUGUUUGUAUUGAGUGGCACCUUAAUCUCUCAAUGGUUUGCCUGUCUUCUCAGUGGAACAACCAGGGAAAUCAGGUGUAAUUCAGAGUGAACGAGAGAGGCAGUGUCUGGCUCUAAAUUUGCUGUGUUCCUUCUGCUUUGUAUCAAUGCCACAGAACAAAGUUUUGUAUUAGGGAAAUUAGGGCCCUCACUAAGAAUGUCUAUCACAUCAGAUGAUGUAUUACUGUUCCACCCCCCCAGUCUUGAACAUCCAAAACCAACUUGCGUGGACAUGUGGGCAGGUCCUAAGCUCUGCUGAAUGAAAUUUAGUGUUCCGUGG